GUCAAUGGCCAUACCACCCUGAUGCACCUGAUCUUGUCUGAUCUCAGAAGCUAAGCAGGGUCAGGCCUGGUUAGUACUUGAAUGGGAAUGUGUGUGUUUAGAGAUCAGAGAGUUUGUUCCAUUCACU
Molecule: ribosomal RNA, 127 nt
Filed under: Chinchilla lanigera (long-tailed chinchilla)
Lineage: Eukaryota; Metazoa; Chordata; Mammalia; Rodentia; Chinchillidae
Source: RNAcentral